RNAcentral lists this long non-coding RNA (413 nucleotides) under Bos indicus x Bos taurus (hybrid cattle). RNAcentral's name for it is "lncRNA (ENSBIXG00000010058.1)". The record is from RNAcentral. Lineage: Eukaryota; Metazoa; Chordata; Mammalia; Artiodactyla; Bovidae.
AAAGUUUUUUAAGUACCCACUAGAGGGUGCUGAAAGAGAGAAAAAGCUUUAAACCAACGGACGUGUUAGGAAUGUCUCCUAAUUCUUAUCAAUAUUAUACCAAUAUUCAAGAUUACUUUUAGAUUGAAGAUCCUUAUUUUCAUCCCUCCCCCCAUAUCAAGGAUUUCUGCUAAUUUCAAUGAUUUUUAAUGUUUUGGUGAAAGCAUGUGUUUCUGUGUAUAGGAAGAAAGAACAGCUGUGCAUUACAGAUAACGUCAGGAAGUCUCUGCUUUACAGAAUCAGAUCCAUCACAUGACAACAUGAAGCUCUGGAUUCAUCUCUUGUAUUCAUCUCUCCUUGCCUGUAUAUCUUCACAGUCCCAAUCUCCAAUGCCCUCUGCCUCAGCCAGAGGUUUUGUGACUCUCUUUGCAACU